RNAcentral lists this small nuclear RNA (23 nucleotides) under Arabidopsis thaliana (thale cress). RNAcentral describes it as "snRNA_08159". Lineage: Eukaryota; Viridiplantae; Streptophyta; Magnoliopsida; Brassicales; Brassicaceae. The record is from RNAcentral.
AUUGUUUCAAAUAUCUAGUUAUU